GAACGCGCACGGAGCAAUUCGUGUGUAGUGGCGGACGGGUGAGGAACACGUGGGAACCUAUCCUUUGGUGAGGAAUACCGGCGUAGAAAUCGCCGACAAGACCGCAUACGUUUGCGAAAGCAAAGAAAGCUCCGAGUAGGGGUGCCAUAGGAGGGGCCUGCGGCCGAUUAGCUAGUUGGGGGGGUAAAAGCCUCCCAAGGCGACGAUCGGUAGCUGGUCUGAGAGGAUGAUCAGCCACACUGGGAUUGAGAACGGCCCAGACUCCUACGGGGGGCAGCAGUGAGGAAUUUUCGUCAAUGGGGGAAACCCUGAACGAGCAACGCCGCGUGCAGGAAGAAGGUUUUCGGAUCGUAAACUGCUUUUCUCUGGGAAGAGAAGGGACGGUACCAGAGGAAGAAGCCCCGGCUAACUACGUG
RNAcentral lists this ribosomal RNA (416 nucleotides) under uncultured bacterium. Its description in RNAcentral is "bacterial SSU rRNA". It matches the Rfam family "Bacterial small subunit ribosomal RNA", at positions 64 to 507 of the family's 1533-position model. The record is from RNAcentral.